Molecule: ribosomal RNA, 460 nt
Filed under: uncultured bacterium
Lineage: Bacteria
Description: partial 16S ribosomal RNA
Rfam family: Bacterial small subunit ribosomal RNA
Source: RNAcentral
CCUACGGGAGGCAGCAGUGAGGAAUAUUGGUCAAUGGACGGAAGUCUGAACCAGCCAUGCCGCGUGCAGGAAGACGGCCCUAUGAGUUGUAAACUGCUUUUGUACAAGGGUAAACCUGAAUACGUGUAUUCUGCUGAAAGUACUGUACGAAUAAGGAUCGGCUAACUCCGUGCCAGCAGCCGCGCUAAUACGGAGGAUCCAAGCGUUAUCCGGAAUUAUUGGGUUUAAAGGGUGCGUAGGCGGAUUGAUAAGUUAGAGGUGAAAUGUCCGAGCUUAACUCGGGAACUGCCUCUAAUACUGUUGAUCUAGAGAGUGGAUGCGGUAGGCGGAAUGUAUGGUGUAGCGGUGAAAUGCUUAGAGAUCAUACAGAACACCGAUUGCGAAGGCAGCUUACCAAUCUAUAUCUGACGUUGAGGCACGAAAGCGUGGGGAGCAAACAGGAUUAGAUACCCGGGUAGUC